AAACGACUCUCGGCAACGGAUAUCUCGGCUCUGGCAUCGAUGAAGAACGUAGCGAAAUGCGAUACUUGGUGUGAAUUGCAGAAUCCCGUGAACCAUCGAGUCUUUGAACGCAAGUUGCGCCCCAAGCCUUCUGGCCGAGGGCACGUCUGCCUGGGUGUCAC
RNAcentral lists this ribosomal RNA (161 nucleotides) under Bornmuellera baldaccii. Its description in RNAcentral is "5.8S ribosomal RNA". It matches the Rfam family "5.8S ribosomal RNA". Rfam says of the family: 5.8S ribosomal RNA (5.8S rRNA) is a component of the large subunit of the eukaryotic ribosome. It is transcribed by RNA polymerase I as part of the 45S precursor that also contains 18S and 28S rRNA. Functionally, it is thought that 5.8S rRNA may be involved in ribosome translocation. The record is from RNAcentral. Lineage: Eukaryota; Viridiplantae; Streptophyta; Magnoliopsida; Brassicales; Brassicaceae.